UCUUUCCUUUUUUCUUUUCUUUUCUCUUAUUUUCUCUUCUUUUCUUUUCUUUUCUCUUCUUUUCUUUUUUUCUAACUGAAGAGCGGCAGUAGUGGCGCAAACGCAUAACUUCGGACAAUGUAGUUCAGGGAUAAUAAAUUCCCACACCGCAACAUUGUGAGAAUCCUACAAUUCCCGGCAUCCUUUGGAGCCGACGUGGUCUGUUGUUUUCCUGCUCAGACGCGGCUAGUUCAAGUUGCCAUAGCACGGUGGAGUUGAGGGUUGUUCUUCUGUUAGCUGUUACUCGCAAAUCGAAAAACCAACGUCUCGUUUGUACUCUGUUUAUAACGACUGCAUGUAUUUCCUCCGUUUCCACUGGACGUACGCAAUGUUUUGCAGUUUUACGGCAUUAUUCCAGAGCUAAAUUAGUUGGCUAACGUUAGGUUAGCUAGCUAACGUUCAUAGUAGUUGCCACUUGUUGCUAGCCAGGGGGAGUAUCACUCACAACAAUGCCCGGGACUGUGAUUGAUUGGGAGGGGGACAGUGUGAAUUGUAGCGUUUUGCUGGUCAAACAGUUCUUUGACUGCACCGGUUGUUAAGGUAACGAUGACAAAGCUCCCUUUUCCGUUUGCUAUGACAGAAUUAUCUACUGUAAAGAAACUUCAAAACCAUCCCACUUUGUUCGUUAAUCUGAUUAACGUUAAAGUUAACAGUUAGCGUUUUGCGCCGAGGAAGCUCGUGCUGGUCACUAAUCGUCAUAUUUGCCUAGUCGGCCGUUUUUCGUCGCCGCUCCCGCAGGCCUGUCCCAAACCAUGGACACAUCCAGCGAGUCGGAUUCAUACGACAGGACCCGGGGACACAGGCCUCGGGGGCGUGAAGCCCACCGCAGACCUGACCGGGACAGGGGCAGAGCCAGUGGGAGUGGAGGUGAUGAUCGAGCAGCAGACAUCUCCAAGAAGAUCAGCACCCUGGCGAACACUUUACAGGACACCAGUAGAAACCUGACCAAAGUAGACCGGAUGCUGGGCCAGUACAGGGAGCAUACAGAUGAUCAGGCUGAGGCCAUGUCACUGCUCAGGGAAAACCUGGAGGAGUCAAUCAGUCAGCUGCAGACGCAGAGGCUGAGCAGAUCCAAUGGGAUUCGGAGUGCUUCAGCUUCUGCCUCUACCCUGCAUACCAGUGACCUGGAGGCUUGCUCAGGGUCAGAGGGCCAGCGUUUCUAUCCUACCUCUCCACUGAGGGACUACACGGGUACACAAGGGAGAAAGAGGAGGUCUCAGUCUGCUGGCGUUCGCUUCAAGGAUACUAGCCUGACAGGAGAGGAUCUUCAUUCUCUACACCAAUCCUUGCGGGAUCUGCGUUGUGACCAGCAGAGACUGUCUGAUGACCUGGACAGAGAAAUCCUCAGGAGGAAUAGGUCUGAUAUUGACACCAGACGGGCGAUGGAGAGCCUCACAGGGCACAUGACAGCUCCCCAGAGAGAAGACUCAGUGUCGUCUCGCGUGGAGCGGCGUCUGCAGGAGCUGGAGAGAGAGAUGCAUGCCGAGGAGAGGAGCGUGGUGAGAGGAAGAAGGCCUGAGCAGCGUGUGGCUAUGUCUGACGAGCUACAGGAGACUUUAGGGAGACACCAAGCUCAAACCCAUGAGAGAGAGGAGACCAUGACAGCCAGGUUACUGAAAGCAGAGAGGGAGAAGUCCAAGAUGGAGCAGGAGCUGGAGAAAGCCAGAAGACUAUUAGAAAAGUCAGAGGACAACAGAGAGACACUCGUUCAACAGGUGGAGGACAUGCGUGGUGAGCUACUGAGGACACAGAAGGAGAAGACUGAGCUUCAGAGGGCCUGGCUGGAGACUGCUCAGCCUACUGCUCAGCCACAUGGCAACCACACUGACAGGGAGGAGGGAAGAGGUGGACUGCGAGGGCCAGAUCGCUUAGACCUCGAAAAAGAAGUGGCAGAGUUGCGAGUCCAGCUGCGCAAGGCCUCGGUCCUCAGUGAGGUUGAAGAACUGAAGAGGGCUUUGGACCGCAAGGAGAAGGAGAGGGUCCAACUCAGCUUACAGGUGGAGGAAUUGUCAUCAGACCUGGCGCGGCGGGAGCAACAGCAGCUACGAAUGCUGGAGCAGUUGAAGGAGAUACAGAGCCAAGGGCAGACAGAGAGGAGGGAGACGGAGGUAUUACUCCAGGAGAGCAUAAGGAGCCGAGACGAAUUGAAGACCAGGGCCCAGGAAGCUGUGCGCCAGUGGAGGGCAAAGUGCAAGAGACUGCAGAAGGAGCUGGAAGAGGCAAGGGCCCAGGCUCAGUUCCAUACUGACAAGGCCUCGCAGGCAGCCAGGGAAAAGGAGAGCUCUCAGGCCCAGCUGAAGGCGCUGAGCCAGCAGACUGAGGCAGCCCGCAGGGAGCUCGCUGAAAUCCUAGGCCGUUUGGCCCAGCGCGAGGAAGAACUCCACCGCAAGGAUGUGGACCUGUCCGAGACCUGCCAGCGCCAGUUGUCACUGGAGCAGGAAAUACGGGAGGUAAGGGAGGCCUUAGCUGCCCUGGAGGAAGAUUCUCAGCGUCAGGCUGCCAUCCAAGCAAGACUAAGGGAAGAGAACCAGAGGCUGGAGAAACAAGCCGACACCCAAGCCCGUCGCUGUCAAAGAGACCAGGACGCACAGGCCGAGCUCCAGGCCUCCUUGAAGCAGAUGACCUCAGCCCACGCCCAGCUGGCUCAGCGAUUAGCUGAGGAGGAGAGCUUCAGGAAGGAGGCCCAGAAGGGUGCCUCAGAACUACAGGCCACGCUGACAGUGGCGCAGGAGGAGCGGGCUGCACUGGGGCAGCAGCUGCAGCUUGAAAGAGAAGUGCAUCAGAAGGAACUGGACAACAUGAAGGCAAUGAUGGAAGACAGCAGGAUAAAGAAGGAUCGUGAAGUGCAGGACAUGCUUAAGCUCUGUCGUCAGGAGCGAGAUGAAAUACAGUCACACCUGAAGGAGGUAGAGGCAGAUGCAGCGUCAGACAACAAGCUGUGCGGGGUUCUGCGCAUCAAGUUGGACAGGAUGAAGGAUGAGUGUGAUAAGCUGGCAGCGCAGCUGAGUAAAAAAGACGAGGCACAUGCACUCCUCCACAGAAAGUACCAUCUACUCAAACAGGAACUGGAUGACAAAGUCAGGUCAGGUGACUGGAGACAUGCUUUGGAGUCAGAGCUGGAGGAGAAGGUGUUGCGGAUGGAGGCAGAGCAGGAGGCAAUCCUUACCUCCAUGGGUGAGGAACUGGAUGCAGCCUGCCGCAGCCUGGCUAGGAAUGGUGAAGACAAACUACAGGCAAUCUCACAGAAACCUGGAUUAGUGAAAGACCCCCAUCACUGGCUCGCCGAGACAAAGACAAAGCUACGCUGGCUGUGCGAGGAGGUGCGGGAGCGUGACACAAGAGAACAGCGCCUGAGGAAGCAGCAUCAGCAAAUCAGGGAUCAGUUGAGAGCCCUCAGGCAGAGCCGGGACUCAGAACAGGCCGCUCUGUUGCAUCGCCUGGACCAACAGGAGAAGCUGCUUCACUCCCUCAGCACUGAAAAGAAAGAGCUGCUGGAGCAGAGUCGCAGGAAGGAGGAAGAAAUGAGGAGCCUUCAGGACCGUGUUUUGGAUCUAGAAGCGAACACGAGAGUAGCCUUGGACCACUUGGAGUCAAUUCCCGAAAAACAGUGUCUGAUGGAAAACUUCAAAGAUCUGGAGGAGUCACAGCGGCAGAGGGAGAUGGUGGAGCAGCGCUACACCAAAUACAAAGAGAUUGUCUGGGACCUGCAGCACCAGCUGGACGAGUCCAAAAGCAGAAUCCAGGAGUACAGAGACGAGAAGCUGGAUGCCAUGUCCAGGAGCCUGAGACUGGCUGCUCUUUCUUCCUCCAUCAAAGGCCCCAGCACGUUCCUGAGCAGCUCGCUGAAGUCUGACACACUGUCUCCUCACAAACGUCUGACCAACUCAGACUUGGAUGAGUCCGCAGUCAGUGGGUCCAAACCCCUCACGGAUUAGCGCAACCUCACGUGAACCUUUAUCUGUAUCUCAACAAACCCAAACACGCGGUGCCUACAGGUGAAUCUACCUGACUGGUGCUCAUCCAGAACAAAGAGCAACUUGACUACACUAGAAGGCUUUGCACUCAACAAUAAUCCUCCUCGACUACCUCAAUCACUGAAGGUGCUCAAGAGCAGAAGGCUCCUCACAAACGUCUGACCAACUCAGACUUGGAUGAGUCCGCAGUCAGCGGGUCCAAACCCCUCACGGAUUAGCUCAACCUCACGUGAACCUUUAUCUGUAUCUCAACAAACCCAAACACGCGGUGCCUACAGGUGAAUCUACCUGACUGGUGCUCAUCCAGAACAAAGAGCAACUUGACUACACUAGAAGGCUUUGCACUCAACAAUAAUCCUCCUCGACUACCUCAAUCACUGAAGGUGCUCAAGAGCAGAAGGGUAAGACUCUGAGCUUUCACAGCAAAGUGUGAGAAAUACUUUGAAGGAGGUGAUACUGUAAAGUGUUUUAAUGUUAUUUAUAAGGCCCUGGAUUGAAUGUAUUUAAUAUGUUUGAAAAAGAUUUCAACCAAAACAGUUAGUUAAAUUUUUUUUAACCAUUAUUACAACAUUUUAACUACGCAACAGCUGUUUUAAAUACUGUUUACCUAAUGAUAAAGCUGUACUCUUGUUAUCAUGCCAAUGUGUUUGAGCUAAACUGAUUUAGUACAGAGUAACUCUACACAAAGAGAACUCUGGUGCCUUUUGAAGAAUAUGCAGUUUUUUUUCCUUUUUACUAACACACUGGUUGUCUUUAUCAUGACAAUGUGACAAAUCUGUUUUCUCUUUUACCACCUCUUUCAAUGUAUUGACCAAUUUUCCUAUUCCUAUUUCCUAAUUUUACUAAAAGGCAGUCCUUCUCAAAUAGUGGGGCGUGUCCCCGGCAUCGCACUGCUGAGACAGAGACAAUGAGACCAAAAAAGUCAUACUUUAGUGUGGCCUCAAAAUAUACCAAAAAACGUCAAAGU
This is an RNA transcript of Toxotes jaculatrix (banded archerfish), 4980 nucleotides long. It is a transcript of the gene named centrosomal protein of 128 kDa, with no coding region annotated. The transcript is spliced from 26 exons. Lineage: Eukaryota; Metazoa; Chordata; Actinopteri; Toxotidae. The record is from RefSeq and is a predicted model, not a curated record.